AGGCUCCAUUUUCAACUCCAGCAAAAUACGAUGACCCGUUGUUCUGAUACGCUGAGGCCACCAUAGCGACCAAUAAGCACCAAAUGGAUUUCUAGCAUUAAUUUUAGCUGGUCAAUCCCCUGGCACAAGGAUCCAGAAGAUAGAUGUCUAUAAAGAAGAAACAAAGGAAUGGAUGGAUUUGUCUCCAGCAGCAGUUCAGAAGCUGGAAGGACCAUCAUCAAGGAAUCUCAAAAGUACAUCCAUUAUGGAUUCCUAAAAUGAGUGAUAUCCCACUAGAUCACUAGAUGGUUUUUCUUUUCUCAAUCCCACUGAAAACAGAAAAUAGUAUGCCUAUCAGCCACGGGGCCGACAGCAGGCUGUCCUUGAUAAGGGAGCUCUGCUUGCGUUUCAAAAGCCUGUGUCCAGCAUGAUCUGUGUACAGCUGCAAUUCAAACUCAUUUGCUGUCAAUGUGAUGUGCCCAGAGAAGUGGCUGGCAUGCAAACAAGACGGCAAACUCUUUCUGAGACGAUUUAAAGACAUAUAGGAAGUGUUCUUCAAAUGUCCUAUAGAUUGGCUAAGUGUUUGAUGUCAGCUUUAGUUUUGAAUGUGCUGCCUCUCCUCUACUUUUAUGCCGUACUCUGAGAACCUGCCAUUGUUUUUAAUUUUAAUAUGUUUUAAAGCAGA
Molecule: long non-coding RNA, 664 nt
Organism: Pezoporus flaviventris
Lineage: Eukaryota; Metazoa; Chordata; Aves; Psittaciformes; Psittacidae
Exons: 3
Source: RefSeq, a predicted model, not a curated record